UUCGCCUAAGUUAUCGUACUCUAACCGUUAAUUAUUUAUAUUAAUUUUCAAAACACAAUAUUUUAAAAGUUCCAAAUCCCAUUUAAAAAAUUCACUACCUUUAAAACACGUCCAAGCUAAAAUUUCCUAAAAUUAUGCGACAAUAGGUAGGUAUAUUUACUAUCUUUUUAUAUGUGUACAAAAUUUAACAUGCAUCAAAAUAUUUUAUUUCACUAUAAAUUGUCAAUAAUUGUGUAACCAGCUUUUCAAUUGCGUUUAGUUUUAAUCAACAAAUUUAUUUAUUAAAAAAAACAUCAUUCUAAGACUUUGAAGAUAUAAACUCCUAUAUUCUCGCUUUGAAAACAAACUGUAAGAAAGGCUAAGGCGAUCAAAUUUCUAAAAGAAAAUUAUUUAUUAUCUAUUAUUUCAUAACAAUACAAUAUCUACAUAUUUACUUGCCUAUAAUAGUUCAAGUUUUAAUUCAAUAAAACAAUCCUUAAAUCAUCAAAAAUAUAAAAUCUCAAAUAAGAACAUUUUUUUUUUGUCAUAAAACCAAUUUUGAAAUUUGCAACCUUGGUGAUUUUGAGCCAGAUAUAUUUUUUCAAUCCUAAAAUUUAGUAAAUAUUUUUAAAUAGACUAGGUAUAGAAUUUUUUUCAAUCUAAAUCAUAACUUCUAAAAUUGCCUUUACUUACUGCACGAAAAGAAAUAAAACCCCGUUUCAAUAGUCAAAAGCGCACGCUUUUGGCCAAAUCUUGGCGGCUAAGCUAUUUGUACUCUCCCAUUCUGUUUACAACCUUUGACACCUAAAGCUUAAAACUUAUGUUUUUCCAAAUGUAUAGACAAAUUACCUCAAUUUUAAAAACUUUGCUCUGACAGAAAAAAAAUUGCAUUUGCUAAAAUUUAGAUAUCUUACCACUGAGACAAAGUCAUCAAAUUUAUGUAGGUAUGUACAAUUACAAAGUCUAAUAUUUCUCUAAACAUAAAGAUCUAAACAAAGUUUAUGUAAGUUUGAAAAUGGGCCAGGGUAGGUUUACUAAAAUGAAAGAAAGCAUUUCCUUACAUUCUUGAAAACUUACUAUUGUAGAUAGAUUAUAAUAAAUGCCUACAUAUAGCAUAAUAUCAUAAGAACUUAAGUAAAACUGUCUCCAAAUUUGACAAUGAAACACUUUUUCGACCGGAAGUUAUAACUACCUAGGUACUUCAUAAACUUAAUUAUUUGUUUUAAUUUUAAAAAAUUCACAACCAUUAAAAAACGUCCAAGCUAAAAUUUCCUUCAAUUAUGCGAUAAUGGUAGGUAUGUUUACUAUCUUUUUAAAUGUGUACAAAAUUUAACAUGCAUCAAAAUAUUUUAUUUCACUAUAAGUUGUCAAUAAUAGUGUAACCAGCUUUUAAAUUGCGUUUUCUAUCAAAAGAAUUAUUUAUUAAAAAAAACAUCGUUCUAAGACUUUGAAGAUUUAAACUUCUUUAUGCUCGAUUUGAAAACAAACUGUAAGAAAAGUUUAGGCGAUCAAAUUAAAAAAAAUAUAUUUAUUAUGUGUUAUUUCAUAAUAAUACAAUACCUACAUAUUUACUAUAAUAGUUCAAAUUAUAAUUUCCUAAAACAAUCCUCAAAACAUCAAAAAUAUAAAAUCUCAACCAAGAAUAUAAAAUUUCUACACGAAAUCGCAAUUCACCUGCUUUUGCCUUAUCAUUUUUGUAUGGAAAGUCUACCGUUUUGCGUAUGUAAAAUUACAACCAAACCAAAAUACAAACACAAAGAUACAAAUGUGUAUUCUCAUCGCACUCAGACUUUCGUUAAUUAACUAUAGUCUUUCUCUAUUUUAAAUUAUAACAUUUGUAAGUCUCCCGACUGCAAUUAAUUUCUCCAUGAAUGUCUUUGCUAGAUGUUCCACAAGAAAUAUGAAGACGCGCGCCGGCCGCGCCGGCCGCCGUGCAAUCAAUGCAAAAAAAACUUGUUUUAGGCUCCAAUUACCAAAAUUUCAGUCAAGCAACAAGUAUCUGUCAUUUUUCAACUUUUUUAAUUAAUAAAAAAAAUAAAACAAUAAAAUUAAUAAAAAAAAAAUAAAACAAAAUUGCACUUCCCCCGAUUUUUCUAUUAAAGUUUAUGAAAAAAAUACACCGAUUUGGCUAUUUCCGAAUUUGUUUUCUAUGUUUUCAGCAAAAGUAGCUAAACAAUAACCGAAAUAAGAAUAAUAAAAUAUAAUACAUGUUGCUAGGAAUUAGUUAAAUCUAGUUAAUAAUACUUACCAAAAAUAAAUUCUGCUAUACAGACUGUCCAUGUUUUUGUUAUGAUAUUUCUUUUGACAAUUCCUGUGUUAUUCUAUCUAGUCGUUUCGUUCUGCGCAUGCAAUAAUAGUUUUGUCUUAUUUUUACUCAAGGGUUAAGGGGGUAGACAAAUUACUACUAGUGCAUGCCGGAAUGUAUUAGACACGAUUGUUCAUCCAACGGAUGAACUUAAAUGAAUUGUUCAAGGGUGUAAAUCUAAGAUAUACGUAGUAUUAAUACAGGAUGAGAAGAAAAUAUCUUUGUAUAUGAAAACCCGAAGCAGGACAGUUCACCUCCGCCGGUUUACCUCUGCCAGUUUACCACCGCCGGUUUACCUCUGCCAGUUUACCACCGCCGGUUUACCUCUGCCAGUUUACCUCUGGACAGUUUACCACCGCCGGUUUACCUCUGGACGGUUUACCUCCAGAGCAGUGCAAUUUUCAAAGCAAAAUAUGAUAUUUAAGACAAAAAUGUUCAUAGGAAAUGCAGCGUAUCCUCUAAAAAAGUAAAUUCCAAGCUUUUAAUUUUGCAAAAUAAAACAAUUCGUUUGGGAUGUUAAGAGUGUAACAAUUAUUGAUUGUUUGUAUAGUCUGCGGUUUCAUUUAGAUGAUGUUUCAUAGCAUAAUGCAAGAACCAACUUCCUUCAAGGAAUCCGGGAUGCUAAGCUUUGCUCAAAAUAAGGCCGCUGUUUACAAAAGCUGGACAUUGUGUGGACAUUGACAAUAAAUUCUAAACAAUUUGUAUGGAUUGUCCUCAAUUGCUGUUGUUGAACCAUGAUCAGCGACAUCUGCCCCUAGAAACUACUCUUCCAGCAGCAACAAAAACAAAAUCUUCUGAUUCCACAGAGUGCAACAGCGCGCGGCGAUUAGUUGUGAAAUCCAGGCUUGUAGCUCCAAAUGUCACGCUGCCGCUAAAUGACUACAACUUGCACACUUAGUUGGCUGAGACAGGGACUACUGCUGCCGCUGAGGCUUAUACAGUCGACGCAUGCAGAUGAGGUACGUAACUAGACAGAAGGUCGAUUUCGAAGCAACCUGUUCAGAGAAUGUAGCACAUAAAUUACGGGAGUUGGAUAUCAUUGGCAAGUCUUCUUCAAAAAUAAAUUAUAAUUAAUUAUAAUACUUUAGAAUUCGAGGCAAUUUUAGUAAACUUAAAGACUGGCAAAAUAGAAGCUGAAUUCCAUGAAUUGAUAAACUCCUGUGGCUGCGCAAUCCGGAAACCUUUACCUACGCAAUUGAGAUUUUGGAAUUUAGCUCCAAAAAGAAUAUCAAAGUAAAUGACCUUAGAAGCCAAGAUUUUGUAUUCAUGACCGACUUACGAUCUCUAUUCCAAUAAUUCUAUAAUUAUAAUAGAAUCAAUAAUUGACCAGAAGGCUCAUGAUGGCAGGCGCAGGACUACUUCUAACAACAAAUCAAAAGGAAACUUCGAAGUCGAUUUGACUCUGCCGUUCAGUUGAUUCCACGACAUAGUUCGUCGUGGCGAAAGUAGUUAUUAUAUAAUGUUGUAAUUUUGUUUUUCAAAUUUGUAUGUAAUUUAGCAUAGUUAGUUUUUAAAAUUCAAUUUCAAUUCAAUAAUUAAAAUAUUAUAGACGUUAAAAUUUAUUUAAGUUAUUGAGUAAUUAGAACAAAUAAAAAUAAAUGUAAUUUUUUCACGAAAAACAUUUCUUUU
Molecule: long non-coding RNA, 3913 nt
Organism: Eupeodes corollae
Lineage: Eukaryota; Metazoa; Arthropoda; Insecta; Diptera; Syrphidae
Exons: 7
Source: RefSeq, a predicted model, not a curated record